RNAcentral lists this ribosomal RNA (433 nucleotides) under uncultured bacterium. RNAcentral's name for it is "partial 16S ribosomal RNA". It matches the Rfam family "Bacterial small subunit ribosomal RNA", at positions 29 to 507 of the family's 1533-position model. The record is from RNAcentral.
AACGAACGCUGGCGGCAUGCCUAACACAUGCAAGUCGAACGAGACCUUCGGGUCUAGUGGCGCACGGGUGCGUAACGCGUGGGAACCUGCCCUUAGGUUCGGAAUAACUCAGAGAAAUUUGAGCUAAUACCGGAUAAUGUCUUCGGACCAAAGAUUUAUCGCCUUUGGAUGGGCCCGCGUAGGAUUAGCUUGUUGGUGGGGUAAUGGCCUACCAAGGCGACGAUCCUUAGCUGGUCUGAGAGGAUGAUCAGCCACACUGGGACUGAGACACGGCCCAGACUCCUACGGGAGGCAGCAGUGGGGUAUAUUGGACAAUGGGCGAAAGCCUGAUCCAGCAAGGCCGCGUGAGUGAUGAAGGCCUUAGGGUUGUAAAGCUCUUUUACCAGGGAUGAUAAUGACAGUACCUGGAGAAUAAGCUCCGGCUAACUCCGUG